UGGGGAAUAUUGCACAAUGGGCGCAAGCCUGAUGCAGCCAUGCCGCGUGUGUGAAGAAGGCCUUCGGGUUGUAAAGCACUUUCAGCGGGGAGGAAGGCGAUAAGGUUAAUAACCUUGUCGAUUGACGUUACCCGCAGAAGAAGCACCGGCUAACUCCGUGCCAGCAGCCGCGGUAAUACGGAGGGUGCAAGCGUUAAUCGGAAUUACUGGGCGUAAAGCGCACGCAGGCGGUCUGUCAAGUCGGAUGUGAAAUCCCCGGGCUCAACCUGGGAACGGCAUUCGAAACUGGCAGGCUAGAGUCUUGUAGAGGGGGGUAGAAUUCCAGGUGUAGCGGUGAAAUGCGUAGAGAUCUGGAGGAAUACCGGUGGCGAAGGCGGCCCCCUGGACAAAGACUGACGCUCAGGUGCGAAAGCGUGGGGAGCAAACAGG
This 429-nucleotide ribosomal RNA is filed under the name Chloroflexota bacterium. Its description in RNAcentral is "Chloroflexi bacterium partial 16S ribosomal RNA". It matches the Rfam family "Bacterial small subunit ribosomal RNA", at positions 355 to 776 of the family's 1533-position model. Lineage: Bacteria; Bacillati; Chloroflexota. The record is from RNAcentral.